AGCGAACGCUAGCGGCGGGCCUAACACAUGCAAGUCGAGCGGGGAGCAAUCCCAGCGGCGAACGGGUGAGUAACACGUGGGUAAUGUGCCUUCUGGUGGGGAAUAACCUUGGGAAACCAGGGCUAAUACCGCAUAUCGUGCUUCGGCAUGAAAGCCUUCGGGCGCCAGUAGAGCAGCCUGCGUCCCAUUAUUUAGUCCUAGUUGGUAGGGUAAUGGCCUACCAAGGGUACGAUGGGUAGCUGGUCUGAGAGGAUGAUCAGCCACACUGGAACUGAGACACGGUCCAGACUCCUACGGGAGGCAGCAGUGGGGGAAUAUUGCGCAAAUGGGGGAAACCCUGACGCAGCCACGCCGCGUGAGUGAUGAAGGCCUCGGUUGUAAAGCUCUGUCGGGAGGGACGAAGGGAGGACGAAUCUCUGACGGUACCUCGCAAGAAAGACACCGGCUAACUACUGUGCCAGCAGCCGCGG
RNAcentral lists this ribosomal RNA (470 nucleotides) under uncultured bacterium. Its description in RNAcentral is "bacterial SSU rRNA". It matches the Rfam family "Bacterial small subunit ribosomal RNA", at positions 29 to 520 of the family's 1533-position model. The record is from RNAcentral.